Molecule: microRNA precursor, 90 nt
Organism: Cavia aperea (Brazilian guinea pig)
Lineage: Eukaryota; Metazoa; Chordata; Mammalia; Rodentia; Caviidae
Source: Ensembl
UUACCUACCAAAAAUACAUACUUCUUUACAUUCCAUAGCAUUGUAUGUUCAUAUGGGUACAUAAAGAAGUAUGUGCUCUGAGUAGGUAUU